AUGUUCCUUCAGAUGGUCUUGUGUCUGAUUCAGGUCCUGGGGGGUUCAGUGAGUGUGUUUGUGUCAGAGUCAGAGAGCUGUGUCUCUCUACAGUCAGAGGUUUUUGUACGGCGGCUCAAUGACUUUGUAUCACUGUGGUACACGUUCGGUGGAGGAACCAGACUGGAUGUUGGAAGUGAUACGCGUCCCACCCUGACGGUGCUUUCCCCCUCCAUUGCUGAGCUGCAGAAGGGGCAUGCCACGCUCAUGUGCCUGGCCAACAAGGGCUUCCCCUCAGGCUGGAGUCUGGCCUGGAAGGUGGGUGGUGGCAGCAGCAGCAGCAGCAUCAGCUGGGAGGAGAGCAGGAGCCCUGCUGUGCUGGAGAAGGACGGCCUCUACAGCUGGAGCAGCACCCUGAGCCUCACUGCAGACCAGUGGAGGAAGGUGGGCUCUGUGACCUGUGAGGCCACUCAGGGCUCUCAGACUCUGGUCUCACAGUCCAUGAGCAGAGACCAGUGUCCCCAGUCCUGAUCUGCCUCACUGGGACCCUGAUUGUGUUUGUUCUCUGUUCCUGCUCUCAGUCUAAACUCUCUGUCUCUGGUUCUCUCUUUCAAUCAUGACAUGUUUCAUGUUUCAACAUUUCACUGUUUCCUCUCAUGCUGAUGGAUUCAAUGUUUUAAAACAAUAAAGAUUUUAUUAUCAUCAAA
This is a non-coding RNA of Notolabrus celidotus (New Zealand spotty), 686 nucleotides long. Lineage: Eukaryota; Metazoa; Chordata; Actinopteri; Labriformes; Labridae. The record is from the annotation of a RefSeq genome assembly.